GGGUGGGGCUGGCCAACUUCGUCUGCCUGACUCGGAAUGGCGCGAGACUUUGCGAGGCACCUCCAUGUACCAAAAAUAGGCCGCGGGCACUGCCGCGCCCAAAAAUAACCGCCCGAAGGCCGGGGCUCCAAGUUCGUCCAGCGGAAAAAGGCCACAAAAACGGGUGGGCUAUAGCCUUGGGGGGUGGGGCUGGCCAACUUCGUCUGCCGGACUCGGAAUGGCGCGGGACUUUACGAGGUGCCUCCGUCGCCGCGCCCAAAAAUAACCGCCCGAAGGUCGGGGCGCCAAGUUCAUCCAGCGGAAAAAGCCCACAAAAACGGGUGGGCUAUAGCCUUGGGGGGUGGGGCUGGCCAACUUCGUCCGCCGGACUCGGAAUGGCACGGGACUUUGCGAGGUGCCUCCGUGUGCGAAAAAAAGGCUACGGGCACAGCAGCACCCAAAAAUAACCGCCCGAAGGCCGGGGCGCCAAGUUCGUCCAGCGGAAAAAGGCCACAAAAACGGGUGGGCUAUAGCCUUGGGGGGUGGCGCGAGAAUUUGUGAGGCAACUCCGUGUGCUAAAAAUAGGCCGCGGGUACAGUCGUGCCCAAAAAUAACCGCCCGAAGGCCGGGGCGCCAUGUUCGACCAGCGGAAAAAGGCCCCAAAAACGGGUGGGCUAUAGCCUUGGGGGGUGGGGCUGGCCAACUUCAUCCGCUGGACUCGGAAUGGCGUGAAACUUUGCAACGCACCUCUGUGUGCCAAAAAUAGGCCGCGGGCACAGCUGCGCGCAAAAAUAAACGCCCGAAGACUGGGGCGCCAAGUUCGUCCAGCGGAAAAAGGCCACAAAAACGGGUGGGCUAUAGCCUUGGGGGGUGGGGCUGGCCAAUUUCGUCCGCCGGACUCAGAAUGGCGCGAGACUUUGCGAGGCACCUCCGUGUGCCAAANNNNNNNNNNNNNNNNNNNNNNNNNNNNNNNNNNNNNNNNNNNNNNNNNNNNNNNNNNNNNNNNNNNNNNNNNNNNNNNNNNNNNNNNNNNNNNNNNNNNCAGCGGAAAAAGCCCACAAAAACGGGUGGGCUAUAGCGUUGGGGGGUGCGGCUGGCCAACUUCGUCCGCCGGACUCGGAAUUGCGCGAGACUUUGCGAGGCACCUCCAUGUGCCAAAAAUAGCCAAGGGCACCGCCGCACCCAAAAAUAACCGCGCGAAGGCCGGGGCACCAAGUUCGCCCCGCGGAAAAAGUCCCCAAAAAUGGGUGGGCUAUAGCCUUGGGGGGUGGGGCUGGCCGACUUCGUCCGCCAGACUUGGAAUGGCGCGAGACUGUGCGAGGCACCUCCGUGCACCAAAAAUAGGCCACGGGUACAGUCGUGCCCAAAAAUAACCGCCCGAAGGCUGGGGCGCCAUGUUCGUCCAGCGGAAAAAGGCCCCAAAAACGGGUCGGCUAUAGCCUUGGGGGGUGGGGCUGGCCAACUUCAUCCGCUGGACUCGGAAUGGCGUGAAACUUUGCGAGGCACCUCUGUGUGCCAAAAAUAGGCCGCGAGCACAGCUGCGCACAAAAAUGACCGCCCGAAGGCUGGGGCGCCAAGUUCGUCCCGCGGAAAAAGGCCACAAAAACGGGUGGGCUAUAGCCUUGGGGGGUGGCGCUGGCCAAUUUCGUCCGCCGGACUCGGAAUGGCGCGAGACUUUGCGAGGCACCUCCGUGUGCCAAAAAUAGGCCGCGGGCACAGCCGCGCCCAAAAAUAACCGCCCGAAGGCCGGGGCGCCAAGUUCGUCCAGCGGAAAAAGGCCACAAAAACGGGUGGGCUAUAGCCUUUGGGGUUGGGGCUAGCCAACUUUGUCCGCCAGACUCGGAAUCGCGCGAGACUUUGCGAGGCACCUCCGUGUGCCAAAAAUAGGCCGUGGGUACAGUCGUGCCCAAAAAUAACCGCCCGAAGGCCGGGGCGCCAUGUUCGUCCAGCGGAAAAAGACCCCAAAAACGGGUGGGCUAUAGCCUUGGGGGGUGGGGCUGGCCAACUUCAUCCGCUGGACUCGGAAUGGCAUGAAACUUUACGAGGCACCUCUGUGUGCCAAAAAUAGGCCGCGGGCACAGCUGCACCAAAAAAUAACCGCCCGAAGGCUGGGGCGCCAAGUUCGUCCAACGGAAAAAGGCCGCAAAAACGGGUGGGCUAUAGCCUUGGGGGGUGGGGCUGGCCAAUUUCGUCCGCCGGACUCGGAAUGGCGCGGGACUUUGCGAGGCGCCUCCGUGUGCCAAAAAUAGGCCGCGGGCACAGCCGCGCCCACAAAUAACCGCCCGAAGGCCGGGACGCCAAGUUCGUCCAGCGGAAAAAGACCACAAAAACGGGUGGGCUAUAGCCUUGGGGGGUGGGGCUGGCCAAUUUCGUCCGCCGGACUCGGAAUGGCGCGGGACUUUGCGAGGCACCUCCGUGUGCCAAAAAUAGGCCGCGGGCACCGACGCGCCCAAAAAUAAACUCCCGAAGGCCGGGGCGCCAAGUUCGCCCAGCGGAAAAAGGCCCCAAAAACGGGUGGGGCUGGCCAACUUCAUCCGCUGGACUCGGAAUGGCGCGAUACUUUGCGAGGUGCCUCCGUGUGCCAAAAAUAUGCCGCGGGCACAGCCGCGGCCAAAAAUAACCGCCCGAAGGCCGGGGCGCCAAGUUCGUCCAGCGGAAAAAGCCCACAAAAACGGGUGGGCUGUAGCCUUGGGGGGUGGGGCUGGCCAACUUCGUCCGCCUGACUCGGAAUGGCGCGAGACUUUGCGAGGUGCUUCUGUGUGCCAAAAAUAGGCCGCGGGCACAGCCGCGCCCAAAAAUAACCGCCCGAAGGCCGGGACGCCAUGUUCGUCCAGCGGAAAAAGGCCAGAAAAACGGGUGGGCUAUAGCCUUGGGGGGUGGGGCUGGCCAACUUCGUCCGCCGGACUCGGAAUGGCGCGAGACUUUGCGAGGUGCCGCCGUGUGCCAAAAAUAGGCUGCGGGCACAGCCGCACCCAAAAAUAACCGCCUGAAGGCCGGUGCGCCAAGUUCAUCCAGCGGAAAAAAGCCACAAAAACGGGUGGGCUAUAGCCUUGGGGGGUGGGGCUGGCCAACUUCGUCCGCCGGACUCGGAAUGGCGAGAGUCUUUACGAGGUGCCUCCGUGUGCCAAAAUUAGGCCGCGGACACAGCCGCACCCUAAAAUAAACGCCCGAAGGCCGGGGCGCCAAGUUCGUCCAGCGGAAAAAGGCCACAAAAACGGGUGGGCUAUAGCCUUGGGGGGUGGGGCUGGCCAACUUCGUCCGCCGGACUCGGAAUGGCGCGAGACUUUGCGAGGCACCACUGUGUGCCACAAAUAGCUGCGGGCACAGCCGAGCCCAAAAAUAACCGCCCGAAGGCCGGGGCGCCAAGUUCGUCCAGCGGAAAAAGGCCACAAAAACGGGUGGGCAAUAGCCUUAGGGGGUGGGGCUGGCCAACUUCGUCCGCCGGACUCGGAAUGGCGCGAGACUUUGCGAGGCACCUCCAUGUUCCAAAAAUAGGCCGUGGGCACAGCCGCGCCCAAAAAUAACCGCCCGAAGGCCGGGGCGCCAUGUUCGUCCAGCGGAAAAAGGCCACAAAAACGGGUGGGCUAUAGCCUUGGGGGGUGGGGCUGGCCAACUUCGUCGGCCGGACUCGGAAUGGCGCGAGACUUUGCGAGGCCCCUCCGUGUGCUAAACAUGGGCCGCGGGCACAGACACGCCCAAAAAAAAACCGCCCGAAGGCCGGGGGGCCAAGUUCGUCCAGCGGAAAAAGGCCACAAAAAUGGGUGGGCUAUAGCCUUGGGGGGUGGGGCUGGCCAACUUCGUCCUCCGGACUCGUAAUGGCGCAAGACUAUGCGAGGCACCUCCGUGUACCAAAUAUAGGCCACGGGCACAGCCGCGCCAGAAACUAACCGUCCGAAGGCCGGUUCGCCAAGUUCGUCCAGCGGAAAAAGGGCCCAAAAACGGGUGGGCUAUAGCCUUGGGGGGUGGGGCUGGCCAACUUCAUCCGCCAGACUCGGAAUGGCGUGAGACUUUGCGAGGCACCUCCGUGUGCCAAAAAUAGGCUGCGGGUACAGUCGUGCCCAAAAAUAACCGCCCGAAGGCCGGGGCGCCAAGUUCGUCCAGCGGAAAAAGGCCACAAAAACGGGUGGGCUAUAGCCUUGGGGGGUGGGGCUGGCCAAUUUCGUCCGCCGGACUCAGAAUGGCGCGAGACUUUGCGAGGCACCUCCGUGUGCCAAAAAUAGGUCGCGGGCACAGCCGCGCCCAAAAAUAACCACCCGAAGGCGGGGCGCCAUGUUCGUCCAGCGGAAAAAGGCCACAAAAACGGGUGGGCUAUAGCCUUUGGGGUUGGGGCUGGCCAACUUCGUCCGCCCGACUCGGAAUGGCGCGAGACUUUACGAGGCCCCUCCGUGUGCCAAAAAUAGGCCGCGGGCACAGCCGCGCCCAAAAAUAACCGCCCGAAGGCCGGGACGCCAAGUCGCCCAGCGGAAAAAGCCCACAAAAACGGGUGGGCUAUAGCCUUGGGGGGUGGGGCUGGCCAACUUCGUCCGCCCGGCUCGGAAUGGCGCUAGACUUUACGAGGCACCUCCGUGUGCCAAAAAUAGGCCGUGGACACAGCCACCCCCAAAAAUAACCGCCCGAAGGCCGGGGCGCCAAGUUCGUCCAGCGGAAAAAGGCCACAAAUAAGUGUGGGCUAUAGCCUUGGGGGGUGGGGCUCGCCAACUUCGUCCGCCGGACUCGGAAUGGCGCGAGACUUUUUGAGGGGUCUCCGUGUGCUAAAAAUAGGCCGCGGGCACAGCCGCGCACAAAAAUAACCGCCCGAAGGCCGGGGGGCCAAGUUCGUCCAGCGGAAAAAGGGCCCAAAAACGGGUGGGCUAUAACCUUGGGGGGUGGGGCUGGCCAACUUCGUCCGCCGGACUCGGAAUGCCGCGAGACUUUGCGAGGGGCCUACGUGUGCCAAAAAUAGGCCGUCGGCAAAGCCGCGCCCAAAAAUAACCGCCCGAAGGCUGGGGCGCCAAGUUCGUCC
RNAcentral lists this long non-coding RNA (4981 nucleotides) under Citrus x clementina. RNAcentral describes it as "Citrus clementina (C. clementina) long non-coding RNA (CCLE_LNC006374)". Lineage: Eukaryota; Viridiplantae; Streptophyta; Magnoliopsida; Sapindales; Rutaceae. The record is from RNAcentral.